RNAcentral lists this ribosomal RNA (152 nucleotides) under Salmonella enterica. Its description in RNAcentral is "partial 23S ribosomal RNA". It matches the Rfam family "Bacterial large subunit ribosomal RNA", at positions 1 to 142 of the family's 2925-position model. The record is from RNAcentral. Lineage: Bacteria; Pseudomonadati; Pseudomonadota; Gammaproteobacteria; Enterobacterales; Enterobacteriaceae. RNAcentral also lists the same sequence under 1 other name.
GGGUUGUGAGGUUAAGCGACUAAGCGUACACGGUGGAUGCCCUGGCAGUCAGAGGCGAUGAAGGGCGUGCUAAUCUGCGAUAAGCGCCGGUAAGGUGAUAUGAACCGUUAUAACCGGCGAUACCCGAAUGGGGAAACCCAGUGUGACUCGUC